RNAcentral lists this long non-coding RNA (348 nucleotides) under Homo sapiens (human). RNAcentral describes it as "non-protein coding lnc-ZBBX-2:1". Lineage: Eukaryota; Metazoa; Chordata; Mammalia; Primates; Hominidae. The record is from RNAcentral.
GGACCAGGGAGGUGGCUUGUUCAGGAAAGAGUUAACUCAACAGGUCUGGGAUAUUCAAAUCCCACACAUUUCGAAAAAAAGUUCUCUCCUCAUUGGCUCCUGGGAGAAAAUCUCUACGUCUUUGGACUAUUCUUCCAGAUUGGAGACUGAAAAGAAGAGAAGUUAAGGAACUUGUCUAAGAUUAUCAAGCAAAAAUUUAAAGCUGAAGUUUCAAUAUUUUCUCAGAAAACAAGAAAAGUUAGUGAUCUCAUUAUAGAAGUAAGUACAAUAUAAUAAAUAUAAAUACAUUUAAUAUAUUUAAUUAGAAAUAAUUAAAAUUUUCUUACAGUGAAAGGAUUUGUAUCACUU